This 1492-nucleotide ribosomal RNA is filed under the name Lactiplantibacillus pentosus. Its description in RNAcentral is "bacterial SSU rRNA". It matches the Rfam family "Bacterial small subunit ribosomal RNA". RNAcentral also lists the same sequence under 8 other names. Lineage: Bacteria; Bacillati; Bacillota; Bacilli; Lactobacillales; Lactobacillaceae. The record is from RNAcentral.
GACGAACGCUGGCGGCGUGCCUAAUACAUGCAAGUCGAACGAACUCUGGUAUUGAUUGGUGCUUGCAUCAUGAUUUACAUUUGAGUGAGUGGCGAACUGGUGAGUAACACGUGGGAAACCUGCCCAGAAGCGGGGGAUAACACCUGGAAACAGAUGCUAAUACCGCAUAACAACUUGGACCGCAUGGUCCGAGUUUGAAAGAUGGCUUCGGCUAUCACUUUUGGAUGGUCCCGCGGCGUAUUAGCUAGAUGGUGGGGUAACGGCUCACCAUGGCAAUGAUACGUAGCCGACCUGAGAGGGUAAUCGGCCACAUUGGGACUGAGACACGGCCCAAACUCCUACGGGAGGCAGCAGUAGGGAAUCUUCCACAAUGGACGAAAGUCUGAUGGAGCAACGCCGCGUGAGUGAAGAAGGGUUUCGGCUCGUAAAACUCUGUUGUUAAAGAAGAACAUAUCUGAGAGUAACUGUUCAGGUAUUGACGGUAUUUAACCAGAAAGCCACGGCUAACUACGUGCCAGCAGCCGCGGUAAUACGUAGGUGGCAAGCGUUGUCCGGAUUUAUUGGGCGUAAAGCGAGCGCAGGCGGUUUUUUAAGUCUGAUGUGAAAGCCUUCGGCUCAACCGAAGAAGUGCAUCGGAAACUGGGAAACUUGAGUGCAGAAGAGGACAGUGGAACUCCAUGUGUAGCGGUGAAAUGCGUAGAUAUAUGGAAGAACACCAGUGGCGAAGGCGGCUGUCUGGUCUGUAACUGACGCUGAGGCUCGAAAGUAUGGGUAGCAAACAGGAUUAGAUACCCUGGUAGUCCAUACCGUAAACGAUGAAUGCUAAGUGUUGGAGGGUUUCCGCCCUUCAGUGCUGCAGCUAACGCAUUAAGCAUUCCGCCUGGGGAGUACGGCCGCAAGGCUGAAACUCAAAGGAAUUGACGGGGGCCCGCACAAGCGGUGGAGCAUGUGGUUUAAUUCGAAGCUACGCGAAGAACCUUACCAGGUCUUGACAUACUAUGCAAAUCUAAGAGAUUAGACGUUCCCUUCGGGGACAUGGAUACAGGUGGUGCAUGGUUGUCGUCAGCUCGUGUCGUGAGAUGUUGGGUUAAGUCCCGCAACGAGCGCAACCCUUAUUAUCAGUUGCCAGCAUUAAGUUGGGCACUCUGGUGAGACUGCCGGUGACAAACCGGAGGAAGGUGGGGAUGACGUCAAAUCAUCAUGCCCCUUAUGACCUGGGCUACACACGUGCUACAAUGGAUGGUACAACGAGUUGCGAACUCGCGAGAGUAAGCUAAUCUCUUAAAGCCAUUCUCAGUUCGGAUUGUAGGCUGCAACUCGCCUACAUGAAGUCGGAAUCGCUAGUAAUCGCGGAUCAGCAUGCCGCGGUGAAUACGUUCCCGGGCCUUGUACACACCGCCCGUCACACCAUGAGAGUUUGUAACACCCAAAGUCGGUGGGGUAACCUUUUAGGAACCAGCCGCCUAAGGUGGGACAGAUGAUUAGGGUGAAG